This 86-nucleotide transfer RNA is filed under the name Alphaproteobacteria bacterium. RNAcentral describes it as "tRNA-Leu". It matches the Rfam family "tRNA". From Rfam's summary of the family: Transfer RNA (tRNA) molecules are approximately 80 nucleotides in length. Their secondary structure includes four short double-helical elements and three loops (D, anti-codon, and T loops). Further hydrogen bonds mediate the characteristic L-shaped molecular structure. tRNAs have two regions of fundamental functional importance: the anti-codon, which is responsible for specific mRNA codon recognition, and the 3' end, to which the tRNAs corresponding amino acid is attached (by aminoacyl-tRNA synthetases). tRNAs cope with the degeneracy of the genetic code in two manners: having more than one tRNA (with a specific anti-codon) for a particular amino acid; and 'wobble' base-pairing, i.e. permitting non-standard base-pairing at the 3rd anti-codon position. RNAcentral also lists the same sequence under 1 other name. The record is from RNAcentral. Lineage: Bacteria; Pseudomonadati; Pseudomonadota; Alphaproteobacteria.
GCGGCCAUGGCGGAAUUGGUAGACGCGUAACGUUGAGGUCGUUAUGAGCCCUGCUCGUGGAAGUUCAAGUCUUCUUGGCCGCACCA